This 76-nucleotide transfer RNA is filed under the name Streptosporangiaceae bacterium. RNAcentral's name for it is "tRNA-Glu". It matches the Rfam family "tRNA". Rfam says of the family: Transfer RNA (tRNA) molecules are approximately 80 nucleotides in length. Their secondary structure includes four short double-helical elements and three loops (D, anti-codon, and T loops). Further hydrogen bonds mediate the characteristic L-shaped molecular structure. tRNAs have two regions of fundamental functional importance: the anti-codon, which is responsible for specific mRNA codon recognition, and the 3' end, to which the tRNAs corresponding amino acid is attached (by aminoacyl-tRNA synthetases). tRNAs cope with the degeneracy of the genetic code in two manners: having more than one tRNA (with a specific anti-codon) for a particular amino acid; and 'wobble' base-pairing, i.e. permitting non-standard base-pairing at the 3rd anti-codon position. Lineage: Bacteria; Bacillati; Actinomycetota; Actinomycetes; Streptosporangiales; Streptosporangiaceae. RNAcentral also lists the same sequence under 2 other names. The record is from RNAcentral.
GGCCCCGUCGUCUAGCGGCCCAGGACGCCGCCCUCUCAAGGCGGUAGCGCCGGUUCAAAUCCGGUCGGGGCUACCA